GACGAACGCUGGCGGCGUGCCUAAUACAUGCAAGUUGAGCGCUGAAGGUUGGUACUUGUACCAACUGGAUGAGCAGCGAACGGGUGAGUAACGCGUGGGGAAUCUGCCUUUGAGCGGGGGACAACAUUUGGAAACAAAUGCUAAUACCGCAUAAAAACUUUAAACACAAGUUUUAAGUUUGAAAGAUGCAAUUGCAUCACUCAAAGAUGAUCCCGCGUUGUAUUAGCUAGUUGGUGAGGUAAAGGCUCACCAAGGCGAUGAUACAUAGCCGACCUGAGAGGGUGAUCGGCCACAUUGGGACUGAGACACGGCCCAAACGCCUACGGGAGGCAGCAGUAGGGAAUCGUCGGCAAUGGACGAAAGUCUGACCGAGCAACGCCGAGGGAGUGAAGAAGGUUUUCGGAUCGUAAAACUCGGUUGGUAGAGAAGAACGUUGGUGAGAGUGGAAAGCUCAUCAAGUGACGGUAACUACCCAGAAAGGGACGGCUAACUACGUG
RNAcentral lists this ribosomal RNA (497 nucleotides) under uncultured bacterium. RNAcentral describes it as "partial 16S ribosomal RNA". It matches the Rfam family "Bacterial small subunit ribosomal RNA", at positions 28 to 507 of the family's 1533-position model. The record is from RNAcentral.